MicroRNA precursor from Cephalotus follicularis, 122 nucleotides. NCBI's taxonomy places the organism in Eukaryota, Viridiplantae, Streptophyta, Magnoliopsida, Oxalidales, Cephalotaceae. The record is from Rfam.
GAGAAAUAGAGCCUGUCAAGUUAGCCAAGGAGACUGCCUGGAACCCAACAAGGGUACUACAUUAAAACCCUCCUAGAGGAUGCAGGCAAGUCAUCCUUGGCUACCAAACAAGACUCUUAUCC